RNAcentral lists this ribosomal RNA (244 nucleotides) under uncultured bacterium. RNAcentral's name for it is "partial 16S ribosomal RNA". It matches the Rfam family "Bacterial small subunit ribosomal RNA", at positions 100 to 334 of the family's 1533-position model. The record is from RNAcentral.
CCCGGCACGGGUGGAGUAACACGUAUGCAACACCCUCGUAACAGGGGGAGUAACCCGGAGAAAUCCGGACUAAUACCCCAUAAUAUGGGCGCUCCGCAUGGAGAGCCCAUUAAAGAGAGCAAUUUUGGUUACAGACGAGCAUGCGCUCCAUUAGCCAGUUGGCGGGGUAACGGCCCACCAAAGCGACGAUGGAUAGGGGUUCUGAGAGGAAGGUCCCCCACAUUGGAACUGAGACACGGUCCAA